Molecule: non-coding RNA, 26 nt
Filed under: Rattus norvegicus (Norway rat)
Lineage: Eukaryota; Metazoa; Chordata; Mammalia; Rodentia; Muridae
Source: RNAcentral
UGGACAAAGAUGUAGUUUAAGUUAUG